This 498-nucleotide ribosomal RNA is filed under the name uncultured bacterium. RNAcentral's name for it is "partial 16S ribosomal RNA". It matches the Rfam family "Bacterial small subunit ribosomal RNA", at positions 28 to 507 of the family's 1533-position model. The record is from RNAcentral.
GACGAACGCUGGCGGCGUGCCUAAUACAUGCAAGUCGAACGAGAGCAACCGGUGCUUGCACUGGUCAAUCUAGUGGCGAACGGGUGAGUAACACGUGGGUAACCUGCCCAUCAGAGGGGGAUAACAUCCGGAAACGGAUGCUAAAACCGCAUAGGUCUUCGAACCGCAUGGUUUGAAGAGGAAAAGAGGCGCAAGCUUCUGCUGAUGGAUGGACCCGCGGUGCAUUAGCUAGUUGGUGAGGUAACGGCUCACCAAGGCCGUGAUGCGUAGCCGACCUGAGAGGGUGAUCGGCCACAUUGGGACUGAGACACGGCCCAAACUCCUACGGGAGGCAGCAGUAGGGAAUCUUCCGCAAUGGACGCAAGUCUGACGGAGCAACGCCGCGUGAGUGAAGAAGGUUUUCGGAUCGUAAAACUCUGUUGUUAGAGAAGAGCAAGUGCUAGAGUAACUGUUAGCGCCUUGACGGUAUCUAACCAGAAAGCCACGGCUAACUACGUG